AGAACAACAACUGCAACUGCUACUGCUUCUGUCUUCUCUUUGAUUCUGCUUAAUGAUUUUACAAUAUGCAAUUUAGGGUUUAGCUUAAAGUUUCUGUUAAUUGAUAGAGAUUUGGUUUUUAUGUGGGGGCGUAAAAAGAGAGAGAGAGAGUUGGGGAUAUGGUGAUGAAACGAAUAUUUCGUGGACUAGAGUUUCAGAUCUGGGCUCUUCACCCAGAAUUUGAAGAAACAACCCUUGGCUGUCUGAAUGGAUGUCACGGCUUUGUUUCGGAAGGAAGGAAUUAUUAUGAAGUGGAUUGGUUUUGUUUCUCUAGUUAAAUAUGGAGGAUUGUAAAUUUUCUUAUGUUUCCAUUUGAUCAACAGGUAUUACGAUUUAGUCCU
Molecule: long non-coding RNA, 380 nt
Organism: Camelina sativa (false flax)
Lineage: Eukaryota; Viridiplantae; Streptophyta; Magnoliopsida; Brassicales; Brassicaceae
Source: RefSeq, a predicted model, not a curated record